AACUCAGGAUGUGGGCAUUUGUUCAGAAACACUUUGAAAUGCUCCCAUGUCUCAUAAAAAGACACCCUUUCCUUAUAUUAAUAAGACUGGAUCAUGCUCCUCAGAU
This 106-nucleotide small nucleolar RNA is filed under the name Helianthus annuus (common sunflower). Its description in RNAcentral is "Plant small nucleolar RNA R71". It matches the Rfam family "Plant small nucleolar RNA R71". From Rfam's summary of the family: R71 is a member of the C/D box family of snoRNAs containing the C (UGAUGA) and D (CUGA) box motifs. Multiple nearly identical copies of this snoRNA have been identified in Arabidopsis, and it is thought to function as a 2'-O-ribose methylation guide for 18S ribosomal RNA. The record is from RNAcentral. Lineage: Eukaryota; Viridiplantae; Streptophyta; Magnoliopsida; Asterales; Asteraceae.